RNAcentral lists this ribosomal RNA (316 nucleotides) under uncultured Clavulina. RNAcentral's name for it is "eukaryotic LSU rRNA". It matches the Rfam family "Eukaryotic large subunit ribosomal RNA", at positions 1 to 308 of the family's 3401-position model. The record is from RNAcentral. Lineage: Eukaryota; Fungi; Basidiomycota; Agaricomycetes; Cantharellales; Hydnaceae.
UGACCUCGAAUCAGGUGGGACUACCCGCUGAACUUAAGCAUAUCAAUAAGCGGAGGAAAAGAAACUAACAAGGAUUCCCCUAGUAACGGCGAGUGAAGCGGGAAGAGCUCAAAUUUAAAAUCUGGUAAUCUUUGGUUGCCCGAAUUGUAAUCUAGAGAAGCGUUUUCCGUGCUGGACUGUGUACAAGUUUCCUGGAUACGGAACAUCAUAGAGGGUGAGAAUCCCGUCCUUGACACAGACCCCCAGUACUUUGUGAUGCGCUCUCGACGAGUCGAGUUGUCUGGGAUUGCAGCUCAAAUUGGGAGUAGUGCUAGCU